CAGUAGCCGCGGUAAUACGAAGGGGGCUAGCGUUGCUCGGAAUCACUGGGCGUAAAGGGUGCGUAGGCGGGUCUUUAAGUCAGGGGUGAAAUCCUGGAGCUCAACUCCAGAACUGCCUUUGAUACUGAAGAUCUUGAGUUCGGGAGAGGUGAGUGGAACUGCGAGUGUAGAGGUGAAAUUCGUAGAUAUUCGCAAGAACACCAGUGGCGAAGGCGGCUCACUGGCCCGAUACUGACGCUGAGGCACGAAAGCGUGGGGAGCAAACAGGAUUAGAUACCCCUGUAGUCCCUGUCUCUUAUAC
RNAcentral lists this ribosomal RNA (301 nucleotides) under uncultured bacterium. RNAcentral describes it as "partial 16S ribosomal RNA". It matches the Rfam family "Bacterial small subunit ribosomal RNA", at positions 509 to 807 of the family's 1533-position model. The record is from RNAcentral.